GCUGUGUCUAAAAACUUAGUUUAAACUAACUUAAAGGUGAAGAGGCCUUUAUAAGAAAGAAGGACGACAAGACCCUAUGAAGCUUUAUCUUAUUAGGGAUUUGAAAGAUCCUUAUACGAUUUUGAUGGGAGAUCAGUAAAAAUAAGUCUUUUACCAUUAUUUUUAUCUUACAAGUGCUUCCUAAUUUUAUAUGUGUGACUAGCUACUCUAGGGAUAACAGCGCAAUUUCUCCCGAAAGAUGGUAUUGGAGGGGAAGAUUGCGACCUCGAUGUUGGC
This 276-nucleotide ribosomal RNA is filed under the name Mytilus coruscus. Its description in RNAcentral is "partial 16S ribosomal RNA". It matches the Rfam family "Bacterial large subunit ribosomal RNA", at positions 2015 to 2536 of the family's 2925-position model. The record is from RNAcentral. Lineage: Eukaryota; Metazoa; Mollusca; Bivalvia; Mytilida; Mytilidae.